This 953-nucleotide long non-coding RNA is filed under the name Setaria italica (foxtail millet). RNAcentral's name for it is "long non-coding RNA (SITA_LNC002450)". Lineage: Eukaryota; Viridiplantae; Streptophyta; Magnoliopsida; Poales; Poaceae. The record is from RNAcentral.
UCCUGUUCGCUGGACUAUCGCUCGUCCUCUCUCCUGUCCCAUCUCUCUUCUCUAUCCAUCCUCCGUCCGCUCUCUUCCUCUCUUGCGAAUUGCUGCAGCCGACCAGGCAUACGCCUGGCUUGCAGGAGCGCGGGCAAAACGCAGGGCGGCUGUGGGGACAGACACGUGCGAGUGGCCGGAGCCCGGAGCCCCAAACGGGCAAGCUCGAGCUUAGCGGCUGGGAGGAUCUCGUGCAUGGCAGCGGCGGGCCAUGCAGGGUGGUGGCUUGAGGGCGACGACGCGAGUAUCAGCACCGGCGAGCAACCGUGCAGGGCGGCUGGCUAUCGCGGCCUCGCGGGGCCACGGGCAAGCCGUAUCUCCAAGGCCUCGUUUGGUUCCAUUUGUUUAUUUUUAAGUAAGUGUCACAUCAAUAUUUAGAUACUAAUUAGGAGUAUUAAACGUAGACUAUUUACAAAAUCUAUUACAUAAGUGGAGGCUAAACGGCGAGACGAAUCUAUUAAGCCUAAUUAGUCCAUGAUUUGACAAUGUGUUGCUACAGUAAACAUUUGCUAAUGAUGGAUUAAUUAGGCUUAAUAGGUUCGUCUCGCUGUUUAGCCUCCACUUAUGUAAUGGUUUUUGUAAAUAGCCUACGUUUAAUACUCCUAAUUAGUAUCUAAACAUUGAUGUGACACUUGCUUAAAAAUAAGCAAAGGAACCAAUCAGUCUCGAUAUGUACCCGUAGACUUAUCAGUCUUUUCUGAUUUGGUAACUAAUACGCCCGUUUAUAUUUACAAGGCGCCUACGCAUAUCAAUAUUCAAACUUUACAAUUUUUAUCAAUAAUUUACUAUUAAUUUAUUAUUUUUAUAAUAUGACUUUCAUAUGGUUGGAUUCGUAAUCAAAUAUACUCUACAAUAAUCAUACAAUAUAAUAUAAAAUAAAUGAAUUAAAAUAUUAUUUGAAAAAACGUGCCGAG